RNAcentral lists this ribosomal RNA (454 nucleotides) under uncultured anaerobic ammonium-oxidizing bacterium. RNAcentral describes it as "bacterial SSU rRNA". It matches the Rfam family "Bacterial small subunit ribosomal RNA", at positions 364 to 832 of the family's 1533-position model. The record is from RNAcentral.
UUCGCAAUGCCCGAAAGGGUGAACGAGCGACGCCGCGUGCGGGAUGAAGGUCUUCGGAUUGUAAACCGCUUUUAUAUGGGAACAAAUUAUUGAGUGUACCAUAUGAAUAAGAGGUUACUAACUCUGUGCCAGCAGUAGCGGUAAUACAGAGACCUCAAGCGUUAUCCGGAUUUAUUGGGCGUAAAGCGCGUGUAGGCGGAUGGGAACGUCGGAUACUGAAAGCCCCCGGCUCAACCGGGGAAGUGGUUCCGAAACGACCUGUCUGGAGGGACGUAGGGGGAUCUGGAACUUCCGGUGGAGCGGUGAAAUGCGUUGAGAUCGGAAGGAACGCCCGUGGCGAAAGCGAGGUCCUGGACGUCUGCUGACGCUGAGACGCGAAAGCUAGGGGAGCAAACGGGAUUAGAUACCCCGGUAGUCCUAGCCGUAAACGAUGGGCACUAAGUAGAGGGGUUUU